GGCGCCGCCCCUGUUCUCCCGGCCCCGCUCCACCGGGGCUGACGGACUGACGGCCAGCACAGCCGGCUCCGGGAUGAGCGCACGGACGGACUUUAAGUGGUUCAAAGAGGUUCAUAGAAGGCAUGUGCAGAAGAGACUUCCUGUUACCAGACCACGAAAACAGAAUCAACUCUUACAACACUUAAUCUCUUACACGGAAUCCCUUGCUGCAAAGAUAUUUUUGCUUUACCUGGAUUAUAUGUGUUUAUGUAUACAUGAAAAUACUAAUUUAAAGUAUACAUAUUUACUUGCAUGAAUGUCUGUGUGUACUUGUGAAUCUCUCAGUCAGUAUUCCCCAAAAUACAUAGAAUGUUAAUGGGUUACAAGAAAAAGAAAUUGCCUAGCCAGAUGUGGAAAACACUAAACAAAGCUGGACAAGUUGGUUUAUUCUUGACUUUUCAGAGCCUUUCAUGGGUUAAUG
This 460-nucleotide long non-coding RNA is filed under the name Homo sapiens (human). Its description in RNAcentral is "HSALNT0220299". The record is from RNAcentral. Lineage: Eukaryota; Metazoa; Chordata; Mammalia; Primates; Hominidae.